AACGAACGCUGGCGGCAUGCCUAACACAUGCAAGUUGAACGAGAUCUUCGGGUCUAGUGGCGCACGGGUGCGUAACGCGUGGGAAUCUGCCCUUGGGUUCGGAAUAACAGUUGGAAACGACUGCUAAUACCGGAUGAUGACGAAAGUCCAAAGAUUUAUCGCCAGAGGAUGAGCCAGCGUAGGAUUAGCUAGUUGGUGUGGUAAAGGCGCACCAAGGCGGCGAUCCUUAGCUGGUCUGAGAGGAUGAUCAGCCACACUGGGACUGAGACACGGCCCAGACUCCUACGGGAGGGAGCAGUGGGGAAUAUUGGAAAAUGGGCGAAAGCCUGAUCCAGCAAGGCCGCGUGAGUGAUGUAGGCCUUAGGGUUGUAAAGCUCUUUUACCCGGGAUGAUAAUGACAGUACCGGGAGAAUAAGCUCCGGCUAACUACGUGCCAGCCGCCGCCGUAA
Molecule: ribosomal RNA, 449 nt
Filed under: uncultured bacterium
Lineage: Bacteria
Description: partial 16S ribosomal RNA
Rfam family: Bacterial small subunit ribosomal RNA
Source: RNAcentral